Molecule: ribosomal RNA, 749 nt
Filed under: Streptomyces sp. EAGB52
Lineage: Bacteria; Bacillati; Actinomycetota; Actinomycetes; Kitasatosporales; Streptomycetaceae
Description: bacterial SSU rRNA
Rfam family: Bacterial small subunit ribosomal RNA
Source: RNAcentral
UCGAACGGUGAGCCCUUCGGGGUGGAUCAGUGGCGAACGGGUGAGUAACACGUGGGCAAUCUGCCCUGCACUCUGGGACAAGCCCUGGAAACGGGGUCUAAUACCGGAUAUGACCUUCCUCUGCAUGGGGGUUGGUGGAAAGCUCCGGCGGUGCAGGAUGAGCCCGCGGCCUAUCAGCUUGUUGGUGGGGUAAUGGCCUACCAAGGCGACGACGGGUAGCCGGCCUGAGAGGGCGACCGGCCACACUGGGACUGAGACACGGCCCAGACUCCUACGGGAGGCAGCAGUGGGGAAUAUUGCACAAUGGGCGAAAGCCUGAUGCAGCGACGCCGCGUGAGGGAUGACGGCCUUCGGGUUGUAAACCUCUUUCAGCAGGGAAGAAGCGCAAGUGACGGUACCUGCAGAAGAAGCACCGGCUAACUACGUGCCAGCAGCCGCGGUAAUACGUAGGGUGCGAGCGUUGUCCGGAAUUAUUGGGCGUAAAGAGCUCGUAGGCGGCCUGUCGCGUCGGAUGUGAAAGCCCGGGGCUUAACCCCGGGUCUGCAUUCGAUACGGGCAGGCUAGAGUGUGGUAGGGGAGAUCGGAAUUCCUGGUGUAGCGGUGAAAUGCGCAGAUAUCAGGAGGAACACCGGUGGCGAAGGCGGAUCUCUGGGCCAUUACUGACGCUGAGGAGCGAAAGCGUGGGGGAGCGAACAGGAUUAUAUACCCUGGUAGUCCACGCCGUAAACGUUGGGAACUAGGUGUUGGCC